UGGGGAAUAUUGCGCAAUGGGCGGAAGCCUGACGCAGCGACGCCGCGUGGGGGAUGACGGCCUUCGGGUUGUAAACCUCUUUCGACUUCGACGAAGCCUUCGGGUGACGGUAGGGGUGGAAGAAGCACCGGCCAACUACGUGCCAGCAGCCGCGGUAAUACGUAGGGUGCGAGCGUUGUCCGGAAUUAUUGGGCGUAAAGAGCUCGUAGGCGGUGUGUCGCGUCGGCCGUGAAAACCUGCAGCUUAACUGUGGGCGUGCGGUCGAUACGGGCAUCACUGGAGUUCGGCAGGGGAGACUGGAAUUCCUGGUGUAGCGGUGAAAUGCGCAGAUAUCAGGAGGAACACCGGUGGCGAAGGCGGGUCUCUGGGCCGAUACUGACGCUGAGGAGCGAAAGCGUGGGGAGCAAACA
Molecule: ribosomal RNA, 410 nt
Filed under: uncultured Pseudonocardia sp.
Lineage: Bacteria; Bacillati; Actinomycetota; Actinomycetes; Pseudonocardiales; Pseudonocardiaceae
Description: bacterial SSU rRNA
Rfam family: Bacterial small subunit ribosomal RNA
Source: RNAcentral